GCAAUCAUACCAGCACCAAUGCACCGGAUCCCAUCAGAACUCCGCAGUUAAGCGUGCUUGGGCGAGAGUAGUACUAGGAUGGGUGCCGCAGUGGGAAGUCCUCAUGUUUCACCC
This 114-nucleotide ribosomal RNA is filed under the name Rhododendron simsii. The record is from RNAcentral. Lineage: Eukaryota; Viridiplantae; Streptophyta; Magnoliopsida; Ericales; Ericaceae.